Molecule: ribosomal RNA, 250 nt
Filed under: uncultured bacterium
Lineage: Bacteria
Description: partial small subunit ribosomal RNA
Rfam family: Bacterial small subunit ribosomal RNA
Source: RNAcentral
AGGACGAACGCUGGCGGCGCGCUUAACACAUGCAAGUCGAACGAGAAAGGGGUAGCAAUACCCUGAGUAAAGUGGCGCACGGGUGAGUAACACGUGACUAACCUACCCUUGAGUGGGGGGUAACUGAGGGAAACCUUAGACUAAUACCGCAUAAUACCCACGGGUCAAAGGAGCAAUUCGCUCGAGGAGGGGUCGCGGCCGAUUAGUUAGUUGGCGGGGUAAUGGCCCACCAAGACGAUGAUCGGUAUCC